RNAcentral lists this ribosomal RNA (502 nucleotides) under uncultured bacterium. RNAcentral describes it as "bacterial SSU rRNA". It matches the Rfam family "Bacterial small subunit ribosomal RNA", at positions 28 to 521 of the family's 1533-position model. The record is from RNAcentral.
GAUGAACGCUAGCGACAGGCCUAACACAUGCAAGUCGAGGGGCAGCACGGGAGUAGCAAUACAACUGGUGGCGACCGGCGCACGGGUGAGUAACACGUAUGCAACCUACCUGUAAGAGGGGAAUAACCCGGAGAAAUUCGGACUAACACCGCAUAAUACCUCGAAGCUGCAUGGCUUUGAGGUUAAAUAUUUAUAGCUUACAGAUGGGCAUGCGUAACAUUAGAUAGUUGGUGAGGUAACGGCUCACCAAGUCAACGAUGUUUAGGGGUUCUGAGAGGAAGGUCCCCCAACUGGUACUGAGACACGGACCAGACUCCUACGGGAGGCAGCAGUGAGGAAUAUUGGUCAAUGGGCGAGAGCCUGAACCAGCCAAGUCGCGUGAAGGAAGAAUGUCCUAUGGAUUGUAAACUUCUUUUGUAAGGGAAUAAAAAAGCUUAACGUGUAGGCUAUUGUAUGUACUUUACGAAUAAGGAUCGGCUAACUCCGUGCCAGCAGCCGCGGU